UUGCAUGAGGGAUGGAAGCGGCAUCCUUUUGCUUUUUUUCUUUAAAAAAGCAAAAGAUAUAGCGAACAGCCCGGCCCUUG
This 80-nucleotide small RNA is filed under the name Flavobacterium branchiophilum. Its description in RNAcentral is "Flavo-1 RNA". It matches the Rfam family "Flavo-1 RNA". The record is from RNAcentral. Lineage: Bacteria; Pseudomonadati; Bacteroidota; Flavobacteriia; Flavobacteriales; Flavobacteriaceae.